AUGCGGGGAAGGCUCCGGGGGGCCCAGGAGCCUUGCAUCCCACAGGGAUCAGGGAGUGCCCGCUUACCCAUCAGGUGGGGACGGCUGCAGAGCCCCAGCCCCAGCCCGAAGCUUCAGCCAGGGCCCAGGGGUGUCACAGGUGAAAGGGAUCUGCAGAGGGUGGGAGGGAGGUGGGUCACUGCCCAGUAUUGCAAAUGGGGACAACACUCGGGGAAAGAAUCGGGGGCAAAGAUAAACCUCAACCAUCGCCACCCUGGGGGUCUUUGGGGAGCCAGGAGAGGUCUCCCCCUCGCAGCAAUGGCCACGCGGAGCGGUUCACCUUCUCGUCUCCCCACGUGGAAAGCGAAACCCCGUGGAGAAGUCGCGCAGUUUCCCAUUCUUGAGAAUGAGGAAGGCUCGGGGGCCGUUUACUGGAAUCCCCGCAGCCCUCCCCGCGGCCUUUUCUUGUAAGCACUGACCGAAAUACAUUGUGAAACCCACACGGCUGCUACGCCGGGGGGCCGGGCCACCCAUCAUUGAGAAAACGCAAACCACGGCAAGGAGGAACCGGCGCUGGUGCAGCAGCCCCUCUGCAGAGGCUUUGCUGUCCUGUGCUCGCCCCGAAUCCCAGCCAGGUACCCGAACCCUGGAUCCCGGAUCCCAAAUCCUGGCUGGGUGGCACAGCACGAGGCUGUCGGGAAGGGGAGGCAGGAAGGUUCAAGGGCCUGGAGCCAGCAGAAAGGCGUCCAGCAGGCGCCAGCCGAAACGCACCCUGCACCCGAUCCUGUCCCGCAGCACGUUGGCACCCCUGGGAGGCUGCUUUGUGGGGCGGGGGCUCUUGCUCUAUAGGGACAGGCUCCAUAGGGGGGGUCUCUACAGGGUAAGCAUCCCCCUCCCAACAGGAACUGCUCUGUUGGGUAGGUUCUCCUGCAAGAUAAUUGAUGUAGGUGCUGCACUGCACCACAGGGGAUGGGGUUUCUUGCUCUAUAGGGCUGGUCUCCAGUGGACCGCAUCACUAGGGCGGUAUCCCUCGUGCUAUAGUGGCCGAGGUUGGGCUGUAUAGGAGCCGGGCUCCGUAGGGGCCGGCUCCCCACAGCAGGAGCUCUUGCCCUAUAGGUGUUGGGCUCUGCAGGUGUAUUCCCAGGAGCUGCUGGAGCGGAGCCAGGGGAGUCUGCGGCGCAUGAAGGGCUGCUCCCCGUGCCCUGCCCUAUAGGGGCUAUGAUCCUGCCCUGUAGGGGCUGCAGUCCUGCCUUAUAGGAGCUGUAAUCCGCAGGGGCUGCAGUCCACAGGGGCUCUGCUCAGCGCUGCUGCCUGCGCAUCCCCGUGGGGCCUUUUCGGGAGCAUCGCCCGCGCCGCGGCGCUGGGGCUGCGCGAGUCGGAGCCUCCGCAGCGCGGCCUCUCCCCGCUCGCAGCCUCUGCAGCCCGCGGGGGUUUUUGGCUACGCUCGCGGGCUGCCGCGCCGGCCGAGAGC
RNAcentral lists this long non-coding RNA (1450 nucleotides) under Anser brachyrhynchus (Pink-footed goose). Its description in RNAcentral is "lncRNA (ENSABRG00000013458.1)". Lineage: Eukaryota; Metazoa; Chordata; Aves; Anseriformes; Anatidae. The record is from RNAcentral.